Molecule: long non-coding RNA, 1795 nt
Organism: Beta vulgaris subsp. vulgaris (sugar beet)
Lineage: Eukaryota; Viridiplantae; Streptophyta; Magnoliopsida; Caryophyllales; Amaranthaceae
Exons: 3
Source: RefSeq, a predicted model, not a curated record
AUGAAGCCUUGUAUGGCCGCAAGUGUCGUAGUCCUCUUUGUUGGAGUGAUAUUGGUGAAUCUUGUGUUCUUGGUCCUGAAAUGAUCCAAGAAACUGUAGAACAAGUAAAACUGAUACAACAGAAAAUGAAAGCGGCACAAGAUAGACAGAAAAGUUAUGCUGAUAAAUACAGACGACAUGCAGAGUUUGAAGUCGGUGAAAAAGUACUCUUGAAAGUUUCUCCUAUAAAGGGAGUAAUGCGAUUCGGAUGAAGGGAAAGUUAAGCCCUAAAUUCAUCGGACCGUAUGAGAUCCUAGAAAGGAUAGGUGAAGUUGCCUAUAGAUUGGCAUUACCUCCAGAGAUAGCUCGAGUUCACAACGUUUUCCAUAUUUCUCAACUUCGUCGCUACAUUAGUGAUCCCUCGCAUGUACUCACACCUGAUGAAUUGCAACUAGAAGAUAACCUUUCAUAUGUUGAGGUCCCUAUGAAAAUUCUUGAUAGUAAAGUUCGAGCAACUCGGAAUGGAGAAGUUAAACUGGUGAAAGUAUUGUGGUCGAACCACAAGGACGAUGAACUUAGUUGGGAAUCCGAGGAUGCGAUGCGAGCUCAAUAUCCCCACCUAUUUCAAUAUGUACGCUUAUAGUUACGAGGACGUAACUAAUUUUUUAGGGAGGGUGGAAUUAGUAUGAUUUCAUUUCAAUUCUUAGUAUUUAAAGAUAAUUUUGACUUGUAUUAAGUGUUUGAUUCUACCUGAAAGUUAAUGGCAUGUUGAGGGUAUGCUAGUGAGAUAGUUUAUGUGCAAGUUUGAUACUAUAUAGUUAUUAUCUUUCGUACUUUAAUAAUAGAUAGUUGGCUAAACAUGUAAAGUUAAUAAUGAGUUAAAGUAAGUGAUAGGAUUUUCGCUACGAGUUUAAGAAUUUUUUCCAAGUUUCGAGGACGAAACUUAUUUUAAGAGGGGUAGAUUGUAACACCCCGAUUUUUGAAACAAUUUAUUAUUUAUUUUAUUAACUAUAUUAUAUAUUUUAGUUUAUUUAAUAAUUAAAUUCAUUUAUCUUUAGGAAUUAUUUUGUAAAUAAUUUAUAUGUUUAUAGUGGGACAAGUUUAGUAAGUAAUUUAACUAAUAAUAGUAAUAAAAGGAAAUAUACUAAGAAAGGGGAAAAGGGAAAAAUAAAACAAGAAAAGAAAAAGGAAAGAAAAAAAAAAUUUAACAUCACGUACAAAAGAAGGACAUCAAAACGGUGCUUCACCAUCUUCACCCUCUUCACCAUUUUCUUCUCUCAAAAUUCUUCCUUCAUCACACAAUCACCAUCAUUGCCGACGACACAACCACACCGCCACUAGAGGUGACACCAUAGAAGUAGGUGUCGCAAGGAAGAAAAAGGAGGGUCGUUGUUGCUGUAAUUUGGAGCAUUUGGUGCUCGAAUUAGGGGCGUUUGCAAGUUAUCUCUCAUCCCCAAUCAUCUAUAUUAGUGGAUUCCGAUUUCAUUGAGGAGCCGUAUUGACUGAGCUAGUUGGUUUGAUAUAGUUUAAAAGUAUUUUAUAUGUUUCAGGUUGAAGCCGUGAGUUAUUCUUUUGCAAGUUGAAGGGGAUACGAGAUGGUGCAGUAUUAUAAAUAUUAUUGAAGUGAGGACGCUCCACUUGUAAUAGUUAAUCGUUUAUUUUCUAUAAUUUAUUUCUUCAUUUAAGAAUCGUUAGCUAGUGCUCCUGAUUCUCUGUUGGUUGUUGCUCCGCGAAAGCGUUGAGGUUGUUCAGCUUUGGGAUUUGGAAAUAUUUUAUAAAUUGAAAUUGUAACAGGUUCAUAUUAUUUUUCGCUUUA